UCCCAACCCGUCAAAAUCUAAAGCCCCCUCUUCACUUCAUCUUUCUCUCGCUCUCUCUGACCGCGAACCCUCUCUCUCGCUCUCUCAUCCAAAUCCCUUUUCCUCUUCGUUUUCAGACUUAACGUCCGCACUUCUCUCUCUUUCUCUCAUCUCAGCCUCCUCCUCUCAUGUAGGGCGUCAAGGAUCUGGCCAAAAUGACGUUGUUCAUGAAUGAGAGCUAUGCAGACCGAAGGCUUCCUCACCAUCGCAACCCCAAAGAGUUUGUUCCAUUGGACCAUUUGGCAGAUCUUUGGGUGAUGGAGAAUCUGGGUCAAAGUUUUCGAGCCCGGUCACUGAAUCUAAUAGCCAGGAUGCAUCACUCAUUGCUUUCAGUUCCUACCCUCAAUGCUCCGUUGCUCAUGCGACACUACUUCUCUGCCCCUAGUUUCCUUGUCUCUAACUUUCCCAGCAACCAGGAAUUGGUGGAGCCGGUGACGCCAGACUAUGAUGAGGAGAGAGUCGAACAAUGUUGACGGGUCAUGGCGGUUGAACUUCGACGGUUUCCAGGUGUCCUCAGAGAGCACAAGGAGAAAAGACUUCCCCGUGGCCUCCAUGACUGCCUGGGGGAUUUAGGAGAAGCUGCGUAAUAGUUGAAGCUGCCAUUAUGGUUUUUGUUGUAAAAAUUUCAAGGAAGUCAGUAUGGGUUUUCCUCAAAAUUUGGCCACUUGCCGAUCGAAUUGGACUUUGAGUCAAGGUAUAAACUUGCUCCCCUUGUUGUGCUUGUUGAUACAUAUGGAUUCUGUGAUUAAGUUUUUUUUACAGAUGCUAAUGCAAUUACCAAAAUCCUGUUUGGCAAUUGUCUUUGAUACAAUUACAUGUAUUUUUUAUUUUGUUCCACAUGCAGUGCAUUCCAUUGAUGCAAUUAGAUGUCACAUAUUCAAUUACCUACUUCAUGUCUACCAAUUGGAUAUUUGUAAAUCCAAUUGUGUUCCAAGUUUGCAUAAUAUGCAUAAUUUUGUUUUUAUCUUCCAUUAA
Long non-coding RNA from Prunus dulcis (almond), 1014 nucleotides. RefSeq lists it as uncharacterized. Lineage: Eukaryota; Viridiplantae; Streptophyta; Magnoliopsida; Rosales; Rosaceae. The record is from RefSeq and is a predicted model, not a curated record. The transcript has 4 exons.